GUGUGACCACUGCCUCUACAUCAUUGCCAACAAAAUUGUCAUAAGCAGCAUCCUGGACCCAGUUCAGCCCGGCCAAUGAUGUCAACACCCUCAAAAAGAACCUCCAAAGACACCCGUGAAGAAGAGGCUGCAGACCCCACGAUACAAGUUAUAGGCCUGGAACAAGUUUAAGCUCGUCUUCAGACUCUUGACAGUGAAGAUGUAGCAUGCAUGGCAAGAGUCAGACAAUUGUCUUUGAAACAAAACUUUUACCACUUUUCAAGCUCUGCCAGAUCUGUGGCCAAGCAGUCUUGCACACAGACAUCUAUUAUUUGGGAGCACAAUUGAGGGUUGAUGUGGGAUUGUAUCAAUGAACACUCAGGUACCUGGACAUCAUUCCCUGAUAUAAGAGGUAUGCCAGAGAGCAAUUUUCUGCCUGCCGCAUAUCUUUUAUUCACAGGGUGGCACAUACACAACAAUGGAGCAAUGGUCAAGGCUUCUGAACAUGUUUGUCAGGACCACAUUCUAUGCGAUACAGAACGCCUAACAGUGCAAUCUCCAGAGGAACUGUUGUCUGACAAGGCUGUGCACCCAACAAGCACGAAAUGAGGAGGACGAGCAAGGGAUACAAGGAAGGUGUCAUUGGGGCCCAGCUCUCAAACACACAAGAAAGAACAGUAUUUCACCAUCAUCUGCUUGAUCUCCAAAAAAGCAUUCCUUACCCGAGGAGACUUCAAUAGAUGACUAUCCCGUGAAAUAAAGAAAAAGGAACACUCUUUUUCUGCAUUGUCUGAUCAUUUAGUCUGCAUGUUUUUUGCCUUUUUCUUUAUAUCCUGGGAUAGUCACUUGUUGAAGUGUCCAUGGGUAAGGAAUGUUUUGGGGGGAUUUCCUAGGCCCGAAGUCAAGCACCUGAUUCCUUUUUUGUUUUUCUCUUUUUGUUUCAAGCUGGGCUGUCACAUCCUGACCUUAGUUCCUUUUUUAUGUCUCUAUUUUAGUUUGGUCAGGGCGUGAGUUGGGGUGGGCAUUCUAUGUUGUUGUUCAAUGUUUUUAUAUUUCUGUGUUUGGCCUAGUAUGGUUCCCAAUCAGAGGCAGCUGUUUGUCAUUGUCUCUGAUUGAGAACCAUACUUAGGUUGAUUUGUGGGUAGUUGUUUUCUGUCUUUGUUUUAGUGACCAGACGUAACUGUUUCGGUUGUUCUUUUUGUUUACUUUGUAUUGUGGUGUUCAGUUCAAUUUAAUAAAAUGACGAACACUUA
Molecule: long non-coding RNA, 1232 nt
Organism: Oncorhynchus masou masou (cherry salmon)
Lineage: Eukaryota; Metazoa; Chordata; Actinopteri; Salmoniformes; Salmonidae
Exons: 2
Source: RefSeq, a predicted model, not a curated record